This 484-nucleotide ribosomal RNA is filed under the name uncultured bacterium. Its description in RNAcentral is "partial 16S ribosomal RNA". It matches the Rfam family "Bacterial small subunit ribosomal RNA", at positions 28 to 523 of the family's 1533-position model. The record is from RNAcentral.
GAUGAACGCUGGCGGCGUGCUUAACACAUGCAAGUCGAACGGUGAAGCAGGAGCUUGCUCUUGUGGAUCAGUGGCGAACGGGUGAGUAACACGUGAGCAACCUGCCCCUGACUCUGGGAUAAGCGCUGGAAACGGCGUCUAAUACUGGAUAUGUGAUGUGACCGCAUGGUCUGCAUCUGGAAAGAAUUUCGGUUGGGGAUGGGCUCGCGGCCUGUCAGCGUGUUGGUGAGGUAAUGGCUCACGAAGGCGUCGACGGGUAGCCGGCCUGAGAAGGUGACCGGCCACACUGGGACUGCGACACGGCCCAGACGCGUACGGGAGGCAGCAGUGGGGAAUAUUGCACUAGGUACGGAAGUCUGAUGCCGCAACGCCGCGUGAGGGAUGACGGCCUUCGGGUUGUAAACCUCUUUUAGCAGGGAAGAAGCGAAAGUGACGGUACCUGCAGAAAAAGCACCGGCUAACUACGUGCCUGCCGCCGCGGUAA